Molecule: ribosomal RNA, 464 nt
Filed under: Vreelandella stevensii
Lineage: Bacteria; Pseudomonadati; Pseudomonadota; Gammaproteobacteria; Oceanospirillales; Halomonadaceae
Description: partial 16S ribosomal RNA
Rfam family: Bacterial small subunit ribosomal RNA
Source: RNAcentral
CUACGGGAGGCAGCAGUGGGGAAUAUUGGACAAUGGGGGCAACCCUGAUCCAGCCAUGCCGCGUGUGUGAAGAAGGCCCUCGGGUUGUAAAGCACUUUCAGUGAGGAAGAACGCCUGGUGGUUAAUACCCAUCAGGAAAGACAUCACUCACAGAAGAAGCACCGGCUAACUCCGUGCCAGCAGCCGCGGUAAUACGGAGGGUGCGAGCGUUAAUCGGAAUUACUGGGCGUAAAGCGCGCGUAGGUGGCUUGAUAAGCCGGUUGUGAAAGCCCCGGGCUCAACCUGGGAACGGCAUCCGGAACUGUCAAGCUAGAGUGCAGGAGAGGAAGGUAGAAUUCCCGGUGUAGCGGUGAAAUGCGUAGAGAUCGGGAGGAAUACCAGUGGCGAAGGCGGCCUUCUGGACUGACACUGACACUGAGGUGCGAAAGCGUGGGUAGCAAACAGGAUUAGAUACCCUUGUAGUC